UUAAGCAUAUCAAUAAGCGGAGGAAAAGAAACCAACAGGGAUUACCUCAGUAACGGCGAGUGAAGCGGUAAUAGCUCAAAUUUGAAAUCUGGCUCUNUCAGGGUCCGAGUUGUAAUUUGUAGAAGAUGCUUUGGGUGUGGCUCCGGUCUAAGUUCCUUGGAACAGGACGUCAUAGAGGGUGAGAAUCCCGUAUGUGACCGGUGGCUUUCGUCCGUGUAAAGCUCUUUCGACGAGUCGAGUUGUUUGGGAAUGCAGCUCAAAAUGGGUGGUAAAUUUCAUCUAAAGCUAAAUAUUGGCCAGAGACCGAUAGCGCACAAGUAGAGUGAUCGAAAGAUGAAAAGCACUUUGGAAAGAGAGUUAAACAGUACGUGAAAUUGUUGAAAGGGAAGCGCUUGCAACCAGACUCGCAUGCUGUCGAUCAUCCGGGGUUCUCCCCGGUGCACUCGGUAGUCUACGGGCCAGCAUCGGUUUGGGUGGUGGGAUAAAGACCUUAGGAAUGUAGCUUCUCUCGGGGAGUGUUAUAGCCUUCGGUGCAAUGCCACCUACCCGGACCGAGGACCGCGCUUCGGCUAGGAUGCUGGCGUAAUGGUUGUAAGCGACCCGUCUUGAAACACGGACCAAGGAGUCUAACAUCUAUGCGAGUAUUUGGGUGUUAAACCCAUAUGCGUAAUGAAAGUGAACGGAGGUAAGAGCCCUUAAGGGUGCAUUAUCGACCGAUCCUGAUGUCUUCGGAUGGAUUUGAGUAAGAGCAUAGCUGUUGGGACCCGAAAGAUGGUGAACUAUGCCUAAAUAGGGUGAAGCCAGAGGAAACUCUGGUGGAGGCUCGCAGCGGUUCUGACGUGCAAAUCGAUCGUCAAAUUUGGGUAUAGGGGCGAAAGACUAAUCGAACCAUCUAGUAGCUGGGUUCCUGCCGA
RNAcentral lists this ribosomal RNA (914 nucleotides) under Lachnum varians. RNAcentral's name for it is "partial large subunit ribosomal RNA". It matches the Rfam family "Eukaryotic large subunit ribosomal RNA", at positions 34 to 964 of the family's 3401-position model. The record is from RNAcentral. Lineage: Eukaryota; Fungi; Ascomycota; Leotiomycetes; Helotiales; Lachnaceae.